AGGAGGUACCAGUGGGUGAGGGCCUGAGGAAUGGCUUCUGUUUAUAACACACCCAAGAAGAAUGUGGGGCCACCAUAAUGAGGGGCACAGCACUGCGUCCUCCCUGAGCAGACCCCUACAUGU
Meriones unguiculatus (Mongolian gerbil) is the source of this 123-nucleotide small nucleolar RNA. NCBI's taxonomy places the organism in Eukaryota, Metazoa, Chordata, Mammalia, Rodentia, Muridae. The record is from Ensembl.